GGAGAGGUCGCAUAGUGGCCUAGUGCGCACGCUUGGAAAGCGUGUGAACCGCAAGGUUCCGAGAGUUCGAAUCUCUCCCUCUCCGCCA
Molecule: transfer RNA, 88 nt
Filed under: Candidatus Uhrbacteria bacterium
Lineage: Bacteria; Candidatus Uhriibacteriota
Description: tRNA-Ser
Rfam family: tRNA
About the family: Transfer RNA (tRNA) molecules are approximately 80 nucleotides in length. Their secondary structure includes four short double-helical elements and three loops (D, anti-codon, and T loops). Further hydrogen bonds mediate the characteristic L-shaped molecular structure. tRNAs have two regions of fundamental functional importance: the anti-codon, which is responsible for specific mRNA codon recognition, and the 3' end, to which the tRNAs corresponding amino acid is attached (by aminoacyl-tRNA synthetases). tRNAs cope with the degeneracy of the genetic code in two manners: having more than one tRNA (with a specific anti-codon) for a particular amino acid; and 'wobble' base-pairing, i.e. permitting non-standard base-pairing at the 3rd anti-codon position.
Source: RNAcentral